Molecule: long non-coding RNA, 354 nt
Filed under: Olea europaea (common olive)
Lineage: Eukaryota; Viridiplantae; Streptophyta; Magnoliopsida; Lamiales; Oleaceae
Description: long non-coding RNA (OEUR_LNC003643)
Source: RNAcentral
CAUUUAAGAGGAAUAUUACAUAGUGUUUAUCUUACCCAAAACACCACCACUCACCACCCAACCGGGAAUAACCAGAAAGCUCCCAGAAAGUUUACAAGGACUUAUGUUACAAAGAAUUCUAUCUCACACUACCUUACUUUCUCUAUCUGCAGAUAUCCCCCUCUUGCUCACACUUCACGUAUACAACCCUCUAUCCUAUUUAUAGACAAAGGAAUGUAGAGAUUUACAAGAAAAUACAUCUAAUAUUCAGCUACAACAACUACCAGAAAAUUAGUUAGAACCAAAGGCUCCUAACUGAUUUUCUAACUCACUAACUAAUCCAACUAAUGAGUUUAAUAACCAAAUCAAGAAUCA